AAAUAUAAUUUUUAUUACUUAAUUUUAAUUUUUUUUAUUGUAUUUAAAAUAUUAAUUUUUUUUAGUAUUUAAUUGAAUAAAUUAUUUUUAUGAUAGUAAAUAGUAUUGUGAAAGAUUAUUUUAAUUUUUAGAUAGAAAAAUUUAUUUUUUGUACCUUGUGUGUCAGGGUUUAUUAAUUUAAGAUUUAAUAUUAAAUUUUCUCGAAUUUAAAAGAGUUAAGAAAUAGAAGAUUUUAUUGUAAAAUAAAUAUAUUUAAUUUUUUUUUAGUAAUGAAAUGUUAUUCGUUUUUAUAUAUAUCUAGUUUUUAAAGAAAAUAGUUUAAUUUUAUUAUUAGAAAUAUGAUUUUAAGUUAUUAUUAUUAUAUUAUUAAUAUUAAAUAUUUUUAGGGAUAAGCUUAAAAAUAGAAUAUUAUAUUGAAUUUAUAAUUAAUAAAGUUUAAGAUUAGUAAUUUUUAUAAUAUAAGUAUGUUAUAAUUUAUUUUAUUUUUUAUUUAAUUUUUAUAUUUAUUUAAUUUUUAUAUUUAAAAUUAAUAUUUAUUUUUAUAAUAUUAGUUAUAAUGAUAGAAUUAGUAUAAUUUAAUUUUUAAGUAAUUUAUAUUUAUUAAGUUGGUAUCAGGAAUUUGGCAAAUAAUUUUUCACCUGUUUAUUAAAAACAUGUCUUUUUGGAUUAUAUAUAAAGUCUAGCCUGCCCACUGAUAUUUUAAAUGGCCGCAGUAAAUUGACUGUGCUAAGGUAGCAUAAUCAUUAGUUUUUUAAUUGAAAGCUGGAAUGAAGGGUUGGAUGAAAAAAUAGCUGUCUUUAAUUGAUUAUUUUAUAAUUUUAUAUUUAAGUUAAAAAGCUUAAAUGUUUUUAAAAGACGAGAAGACCCUAUAGAGUUUAAUAUUUUUAUUAUUAUUUAAUUAUAUAAUAUAAUUAUUUAAUUGGGGUGAUUAAAAAAUAUAGUUAACUUUUUUUUUAUUUUAAUAUAGAUUAAUAGUUAUAUGAUCCAAUUAUUUUGAUUAAAAGAAUAAAUUACCUUAGGGAUAACAGCGUAAUUUUAUUUUAAAGUUCUAAUUAAAAAUAGAGAUUGCGACCUCGAUGUUGGAUUAAAAUUUAGCUUAGGUGUAGUAGCUUAAGGAUUUAAGUCUGUUCGACUUUUAAAAUUUUACAUGAUCUGAGUUUAAACCGGUGUGAGCCAGGUUGGUUUCUAUCUUUAAAUUAUUAAUUUAAUUUAGUACGAAAGGACCAAUUAUUUAUAA
This 1237-nucleotide ribosomal RNA is filed under the name Hyphasis sp. REN-2018. RNAcentral's name for it is "large subunit ribosomal RNA". The stretch from base 1021 to 1180 matches the Rfam family "Archaeal large subunit ribosomal RNA", at positions 2542 to 2701 of the family's 2987-position model. Lineage: Eukaryota; Metazoa; Arthropoda; Insecta; Coleoptera; Chrysomelidae. The record is from RNAcentral.